CAGUCGCCACGGUAAUACGAAGGGUGCAAGCGUUAAUCGGAAUUACUGGGCGUAAAGCGUGCGUAGGCGGUUUGUUAAGUCUGUUGUGAAAUCCCCGGGCUCAACCUGGGAAUGGCAAUGGAUACUGGCAAGCUAGAGUGUGUCAGAGGAUGGUGGAAUUCCCGGUGUAGCGGUGAAAUGCGUAGAGAUCGGGAGGAACAUCAGUGGCGAAGGCGGCCAUCUGGGACAACACUGACGCUGAGGCGCGAAAGCGUGGGGAGCAAACCGGAUUAGAUACCCGCGUAGUCCCUGUCUCUUAUAC
This 301-nucleotide ribosomal RNA is filed under the name uncultured bacterium. RNAcentral describes it as "partial 16S ribosomal RNA". It matches the Rfam family "Bacterial small subunit ribosomal RNA", at positions 509 to 807 of the family's 1533-position model. The record is from RNAcentral.